This 247-nucleotide ribosomal RNA is filed under the name Bacillus thuringiensis. RNAcentral's name for it is "partial 16S ribosomal RNA". It matches the Rfam family "Bacterial small subunit ribosomal RNA", at positions 1145 to 1390 of the family's 1533-position model. Lineage: Bacteria; Bacillati; Bacillota; Bacilli; Caryophanales; Bacillaceae. The record is from RNAcentral.
GAUACUGCCUGGGUAACCAGGAGGAAGGUGGGGACGACGUCAAAUCAUCAUGCCUCUUACGAGUGGGGCAACACACGUGCUACAAUGGUCGGUACAAAGAGAAGCAAUAUGGUGACAUGGAGCAAAUCUCAAAAAAACCGAUCUCAGUUCGGAUUGAAGUCUGCAACUCGACUUCAUGAAGUCGGAAUCGCUAGUAAUCGUAGAUCAGCUACGCUACGGUGAAUACGUUCUCGGGUUUUGUACAAAC